ACUACGGUGGGCAGCAGUGGGGAAUAUUGCACAAUGGGCGCAAGCCUGAUGCAGCCAUGCCGCGUGUGUGAAGAAGGCCUUCGGGUUGUAAAGCACUUUCAGCGGGGAGGAAGGCGUUAAGGUUAAUAACCUUGGCGAUUGACGUUACCCGCAGAAGAAGCACCGGCUAACUCCGUGCCAGCAGCCGCGGUAAUACGGAGGGUGCAAGCGUUAAUCGGAAUUACUGGGCGUAAAGCGCACGCAGGCGGUCUGUCAAGUCGGAUGUGAAAUCCCCGGGCUCAACCUGGGAACUGCAUUCGAAACUGGCAGGCUAGAGUCUUGUAGAGGGGGGUAGAAUUCCAGGUGUAGCGGUGAAAUGCGUAGAGAUCUGGAGGAAUACCGGUGGCGAAGGCGGCCCCCUGGACAAAGACUGACGCUCAGGUGCGAAAGCGUGGGGAGCAAACAGGAUUAGAUACCCGUGUAGUC
RNAcentral lists this ribosomal RNA (465 nucleotides) under uncultured Klebsiella sp. RNAcentral describes it as "bacterial SSU rRNA". It matches the Rfam family "Bacterial small subunit ribosomal RNA", at positions 338 to 795 of the family's 1533-position model. The record is from RNAcentral. Lineage: Bacteria; Pseudomonadati; Pseudomonadota; Gammaproteobacteria; Enterobacterales; Enterobacteriaceae.